Long non-coding RNA from Rhipicephalus sanguineus (brown dog tick), 343 nucleotides. RefSeq lists it as uncharacterized. NCBI's taxonomy places the organism in Eukaryota, Metazoa, Arthropoda, Arachnida, Ixodida, Ixodidae. The transcript has 2 exons. The record is from RefSeq and is a predicted model, not a curated record.
ACCGCGGCGGGCGCACUGCUGCUGCCCAGGAUGUCUGGCCUCGGGGACAAUCGUAGAGGACCUCAAGAAAGUCUUAGACCGACUGAAGGAGCUGAAAAUAGGGGAGAAGGUGGACGAAGUUAUUCCGCUGCCCAAAGUUGAUGUUGACGUCUACAUCAACGCAGAGAGCCCGCUCGCCGUCAAUUUCUCACGUUGCCCUUUCGAGACGGACCUAUGCAUUGUGGAGUGCUACAACAAAAACAAGACAAAGCCCAUCAGAGGGCACUGCGGUGGAGUCUUGUGGCUGAAGUGCGUCUGUGAAGGCGAUUACACAAAAUAAAAAAAAUGAGCCAAUCGCAACUAC